GACCUUGUAGCUCAGACAGUAGAGCAUCGUUCUAGAAAUACGAAGGUCGCGGGUUCGAAUCCCAGCCGCGGUCA
This 74-nucleotide transfer RNA is filed under the name Paramuricea clavata. It matches the Rfam family "tRNA". Rfam says of the family: Transfer RNA (tRNA) molecules are approximately 80 nucleotides in length. Their secondary structure includes four short double-helical elements and three loops (D, anti-codon, and T loops). Further hydrogen bonds mediate the characteristic L-shaped molecular structure. tRNAs have two regions of fundamental functional importance: the anti-codon, which is responsible for specific mRNA codon recognition, and the 3' end, to which the tRNAs corresponding amino acid is attached (by aminoacyl-tRNA synthetases). tRNAs cope with the degeneracy of the genetic code in two manners: having more than one tRNA (with a specific anti-codon) for a particular amino acid; and 'wobble' base-pairing, i.e. permitting non-standard base-pairing at the 3rd anti-codon position. The record is from Rfam by way of RNAcentral. Lineage: Eukaryota; Metazoa; Cnidaria; Anthozoa; Malacalcyonacea; Plexauridae.